This 742-nucleotide ribosomal RNA is filed under the name uncultured bacterium. RNAcentral's name for it is "bacterial SSU rRNA". It matches the Rfam family "Bacterial small subunit ribosomal RNA", at positions 505 to 1247 of the family's 1533-position model. The record is from RNAcentral.
GUGCCAGCAGCCGCGGUAAUACGUAGGUGGCAAGCGUUGUCCGGAUUUAUUGGGCGUAAAGCGAGCGCAGGCGGUUUCUUAAGUCUGAUGUGAAAGCCCCCGGCUCAACCGGGGAGGGUCAUUGGAAACUGGGAGACUUGAGUGCAGAAGAGGAGAGUGGAAUUCCAUGUGUAGCGGUGAAAUGCGUAGAUAUAUGGAGGAACACCAGUGGCGAAGGCGGCUCUCUGGUCUGUAACUGACGCUGAGGCUCGAAAGCGUGGGGAGCGAACAGGAUUAGAUACCCUGGUAGUCCACGCCGUAAACGAUGAGUGCUAAGUGUUGGAGGGUUUCCGCCCUUCAGUGCUGCAGCAAACGCAUUAAGCACUCCGCCUGGGGAGUACGACCGCAAGGUUGAAACUCAAAGGAAUUGACGGGGGCCCGCACAAGCGGUGGAGCAUGUGGUUUAAUUCGAAGCAACGCGAAGAACCUUACCAGGUCUUGACAUCCUUUGACCACUCUAGAGAUAGAGCUUCCCCUUCGGGGGCAAAGUGACAGGUGGUGCAUGGUUGUCGUCAGCUCGUGUCGUGAGAUGUUGGGUUAAGUCCCGCAACGAGCGCAACCCUUAUUGUUAGUUGCCAUCAUUUAGUUGGGCACUCUAGCGAGACUGCCGGUGACAAACCGGAGGAAGGUGGGGAUGACGUCAAAUCAUCAUGCCCCUUAUGACCUGGGCUACACACGUGCUACAAUGGGAAGUACAACGAGU